This 452-nucleotide ribosomal RNA is filed under the name uncultured bacterium. RNAcentral's name for it is "bacterial SSU rRNA". It matches the Rfam family "Bacterial small subunit ribosomal RNA", at positions 29 to 524 of the family's 1533-position model. The record is from RNAcentral.
AACGAACGCUGGCGGCAUGCCUAACACAUGCAAGUCGAACGAGACCUUCGGGUCUAGUGGCGCACGGGUGCGUAACGCGUGGGAAUCUGCCCUUGGGUUCGGAAUAACAGUUAGAAAUGACUGCUAAUACCGGAUAAUGUCUUCGGACCAAAGAUUUAUCGCCCAGGGAUGAGCCCGCGUAGGAUUAGCUAGUUGGUGAGGUAAAGGCUCACCAAGGCGACGAUCCUUAGCUGGUCUGAGAGGAUGAUCAGCCACACUGGGACUGAGACACGGCCCAGACUCCUACGGGAGGCAGCAGUGGGGAAUAUUGGACAAUGGGCACAAGCCUGAUCCAGCAAUGCCGCGUGAGUGAUGAAGGCCUUAGGGUUGUAAAGCUCUUUCACCCGGGGGAAGAUAAUGACGGUACCCGGAGAAGAAGCCCCGGCUAACUCCGUGCCAGCAGCCGCGGUAAU